RNAcentral lists this ribosomal RNA (252 nucleotides) under Phascolarctobacterium faecium. RNAcentral describes it as "partial 16S ribosomal RNA". It matches the Rfam family "Bacterial small subunit ribosomal RNA", at positions 524 to 776 of the family's 1533-position model. Lineage: Bacteria; Bacillati; Bacillota; Negativicutes; Acidaminococcales; Acidaminococcaceae. The record is from RNAcentral.
UACGUAGGUGGCGAGCGUUGUCCGGAAUUAUUGGGCGUAAAGAGCAUGUAGGCGGCUUAAUAAGUCGAGCGUGAAAAUGCGGGGCUCAACCCCGUAUGGCGCUGGAAACUGUUAGGCUUGAGUGCAGGAGAGGAAAGGGGAAUUCCCAGUGUAGCGGUGAAAUGCGUAGAUAUUGGGAGGAACACCAGUGGCGAAGGCGCCUUUCUGGACUGUGUCUGACGCUGAGAUGCAAAAGCCAGGGUAGCGAACGGG